RNAcentral lists this ribosomal RNA (525 nucleotides) under uncultured bacterium. RNAcentral describes it as "bacterial SSU rRNA". It matches the Rfam family "Bacterial small subunit ribosomal RNA", at positions 777 to 1300 of the family's 1533-position model. The record is from RNAcentral.
AAUAGAUACCCGGGUAGUCCACGCCGUAAACGAUGAGUGCUAAGUGUUAGAGGGUUUCCGCCCUUUAGUGCUGCAGCUAACGCAUUAAGCACUCCGCCUGGGGAGUACGGCCGCAAGGCUGAAACUCAAAGGAAUUGACGGGGGCCCGCACAAGCGGUGGAGCAUGUGGUUUAAUUCGAAGCAACGCGAAGAACCUUACCAGGUCUUGACAUCCUCUGACACUCCUAGAGAUAGGACGUUCCCCUUCGGGGGACAGAGUGACAGGUGGUGCAUGGUCGUCGUCAGCUCGUGUCGUGAGAUGUUGGGUUAAGUCCCGCAACGAGCGCAACCCUUGAUCUUAGUUGCCAGCAUUCAGUUGGGCACUCUAAGGUGACUGCCGGUGACAAACCGGAGGAAGGUGGGGAUGACGUCAAAUCAUCAUGCCCCUUAUGACCUGGGCUACACACGUGCUACAAUGGAUGGUACAAAGAGCAGCAAACCCGCGAGGGCUAGCAAAUCUCAUAAAGCCAUUCUCAGUUCGGAUUG